AUGGUGCUCAAUAAAUACAAGCCGAGGUCACAUGAUUACAUGACGCAACUGUACGAGAUUAGGCGCAAGUGUGCUAAGCCUUACUUUAAUGGUGUGUUUUGUGCGAAGAUGACCAGCACACAGAGGAGUGAAAGUGCAAACUACAUGCUAAAGAAUUAUGUGCCCCCUGGGUGUCCAAUGCAUAUGUUUGUUCAGAAGUAUGAGCUUCAGUUUGACAGAGUAUCGAUGGAGAACUACGAGGAGAAACGAACAAGAAUUAUAAGGUUGAUUUGGGAUUUUUUUUUUGUUGUAGUAAUUUUUUAA
RNAcentral lists this ribosomal RNA (303 nucleotides) under Triticum aestivum (bread wheat). RNAcentral's name for it is "partial small subunit ribosomal RNA". Lineage: Eukaryota; Viridiplantae; Streptophyta; Magnoliopsida; Poales; Poaceae. The record is from RNAcentral.